Molecule: small RNA, 294 nt
Filed under: Pan troglodytes (chimpanzee)
Lineage: Eukaryota; Metazoa; Chordata; Mammalia; Primates; Hominidae
Also listed under: 1 other name
Description: retained intron
Source: RNAcentral
GGCCAAAGUAGGUUGGGAGUGGAAGGUGGUGGCUGCUGCUCCGCAGUGUCGGGAAGAUGGCGCCGCCGGUGGCAGAGAGGGGGCUAAAGAGCGUCGUGUGGCAGAAGAUAAAAGCAACAGUGUUUGAUGACUGCAAGAAAGAAGGCGAAUGGAAGAUAAUGCUUUUAGAUGAAUUUACCACUAAGCUUUUGGCAUCGUGUUGCAAAAUGACAGAUCUUCUAGAAGAAGGUAUUACUGGUAAGUGUUAUUCUUGGCAUGAACACUUUUUAAUUGUAAUUGGGGGAGAUCUGAGGU